UUUGAGUCUUAGAUGAGUGGAAAGGUGCUGU
This 31-nucleotide non-coding RNA is filed under the name Mus musculus (house mouse). Lineage: Eukaryota; Metazoa; Chordata; Mammalia; Rodentia; Muridae. RNAcentral also lists the same sequence under 1 other name. The record is from RNAcentral.